UGAGGAAUCUUCCACAAUGGGCGAAAGCCUGAUGGAGCAAUACCGCGUGCAGGAUGAAGGCCUUAGGGUCGUAAACUGCUUUUAUUAGAGAAGAAUAUGACGGUAACUAAUGAAUAAGGGUCGGCUAACUACGUGCCAGCAGCCGCGGUCAUACGUAGGACCCAAGCGUUAUCCGGAGUGACUGGGCGUAAAGAGUUGCGUAGGCGGCGCAUCAAGCGAGUAAUGAAAACUGGGGGCUCAACCUCCAGCCUAUUAUUCGAACUGAUGUGCUCGAGAAUGGUAGAGGUUAUUGGAAUUUCUAGUGUAGGAGUGAAAUCCGUAGAUAUUAGAAGGAACACCGAUGGCGUAGGCAGAUAACUGGACCAUUUCUGACGCUAAGGCACGAAAGCGUGGGGAGCGAACGGGAUUAGAUACCCCGGUAGUCCACGCCGUAAACGAUGAAUGUUAACUGUCGGGGGUAUCGACCCCUUCGGUAGUAAAGCUAACGCGUUAAACAUUCCGCCUGUGGAGUACGGCCGCAAGGCUAAAACAUAAAGGAAUUGACGGGGACCCGCACAAGCGGUGGAGCGUGUUCUUUAAUUCGAGGCUAAACGAAGAACCUUACCCAGGCUUGACAUCCCGAGAAUUUCUCCGAAAGGAGAGAGUGCUUUAUUGAACUCGGUGACAGAUCUUGCAUGGCCGUCGUCAGCUCGUGUCGUGAGAUGUUUGGUUAAGUCCAUCAACGAGCGCAACCCUUAUCGUUAGUUGUAUUUUUCUAGCGAGACUGCCCCGGUAACGGGGAGGAAGGAGGGGAUGAUGUCAGGUCAGUAUUAGUCUUACGUCUGGGGCUAGAAACGCGCUACAAUGGCCGGUACAACGGGCAGCGAAACAGUAAUGUGAAGCAAAUCCCACCAAAACCGGUCCCAGUUCGGAUUGAGGGCUGAAACUCGCCCUCAUGAAGUCGGAAUCGCUAGUAAUCGCAGAUCAGCACGCUGCGGUGAAUACGUUCCCGGGUCUUGUACACACCGCCCGUCAAAC
This 1017-nucleotide ribosomal RNA is filed under the name uncultured bacterium. RNAcentral describes it as "SSU rRNA". It matches the Rfam family "Bacterial small subunit ribosomal RNA", at positions 355 to 1402 of the family's 1533-position model. The record is from RNAcentral.